Centrocercus urophasianus (Greater sage-grouse) is the source of this 428-nucleotide long non-coding RNA. RefSeq lists it as uncharacterized. The transcript is spliced from 3 exons. NCBI's taxonomy places the organism in Eukaryota, Metazoa, Chordata, Aves, Galliformes, Phasianidae. The record is from RefSeq and is a predicted model, not a curated record.
UGAGAGUGGACUAAAACCCUCAUGCUGCUGCAAGAGGCCGCAUGGGCUUGUGUACCUCCACAGGACCAGAGCUGUUUGCAGGGCUCACUAAGGAAAGUGUACCACAAACAGCUUGCCAGGAAACAACCACGCAUUAAUACUGCAAUUAAAUAGCAAAAUGGGUAAAGCAGGAGAUUAUGGGCAGCUAGCUUGGAUGUUCCCACUGGCCUUUUGAGUGUCUCUUCCCAUGGACUGCAGAGGAAAUUUGGACUUCUAAACUCAUAUGUCCUGAAUUGCACCGAAGAAUAGGAGAACACAUGGAGCAGUCACUACCAAUAGUGGAUAGCUCAUGACAUCUUACCAUCAUGAAGGCAAAAGAAGUUGGAACUGGGAACCAGAAGAACUUCUGACUAUUUCACCAAUGAACUGGAUUUGGAGUGGUGGAGAGA